UCAAACCCCCCCGAAAACCCCACAAACAACUAAGCAAACAAACAAGCAGAACAACAAUAACAAUAAAACCCAUAAAACAUCAACGUUCCAGUCGUUCCUCCCGUGCAGGAGGGCCGCCACUCUGGUCCGGUGAGCCCCCACCGCAUCCAGCUCUGGGGUCCCCAGCACAGGAAAGAUAUAAAACUGCUGGAACAAGUUCAGAGGAGGCCACCAAGUUGAUUAGAGGGAUGGAACAUUUUUCCUGUGAGGAAAGGCUUGGAGAAUUGGGAUUGUUCAUCCUGGAGAAGGGUCUGGGAUGACCCAGCUGUGGCCUUCAGAUCCUGAAGGGAGCUACAAGAAAGCUAUAGAGAAAUUUACACAAGGGCAUGUAGUGACAGGACAAAGGUGAGUGGAUUAAAACUGAAACAGAGUAAGUUUAGAUUAGAUAAUGGAAAGAAAGUCUUUACUGUGAGGGUGGUGAGACAUCUGCACAGUUUGCCCAGAGAAAUUGUGUCUGCCUCAUCCCUGACAGUCUGCAAGGCUGGGUUUGAUGGACCUCAGAGCAAUCUUGCCUAGUAGAAGGUGUCCCUGCCCAUGUGAGGAGGUUGGAAUUAAGUGAUCUUUAAGGUCCCUUCCAGCUCUAUGAUUCAAGCACCAGGAUUGACGGGUGUAUGGAUACACAUGGAGGAACAUGGCAGUGGGCUGGCUAUGAGGUGUCAGGGAGCAGGUGUGUCCAGGGUGGAGGGAAGGCUGAGGGGGUUGCUUCCCUCUCCAAGUUGAAGAUGCAGCUGAGGGGCCUCUGAGUGACCAAAAUACAUGUGCCUGGAAGGGGGAGAAGGUCAGCAUCUGAGCCAAAACCAAGAGGUUUACUGGCCCUGGAAAGAAUGCAGUGGCCAUUCUUCCACAGAACAAUGCUCAAGACCAAAGCAACAUAACCUUGCAGAUACACUUAGCAAAAAACCAACUCCUGCUCUACAUAAACUAACUCCAACCUAUCCAUCUGCCUGAGAUGUCAUAAGAUGGUGCAUAAGUUUUGAGUAAACCAUUUUCAUUCAUCCCACGGGUUUGUAGACAGCUUGUGUAUUUUCCUAGCAGUGUGUUUUUGGGAGUAGCCUUUCCUUGGGCCUAAACUCAGAACAGGCUGAAUUGCUGGCAUGUCUUGAAAAGACAGAUCACAGCAGCUGACUUGAGAUGCUAAACUCCAUUAAGACUUCUUGUCUAAAGCCUUAGAAGCAAAAUCAGUUUAUUUGCUAAUCUGAGUUAAAUAUCUGUGUAUGAGGCAAAUGCAAGGUGAUGUGGUUUAAUAUAAUCCAGUGUGAAGCAGGUUAAGUAGAUGACUUGAUGCUUGCUGGAGGCUAAGAGAUUUGCUGCUGUGACACUGCUAGCAUGUGGGAACAUGUCAAAUUGCAAUCACUCCCUUACAUGGCCAUGUAUCUUCAAGCAACAAGUGAGGUAGGAGAAAUAUUUUUAGGUGUUGCCAUUACAUUUAAAAUGUCUGAAAGAACUUAGGUGAGACACAUUAUCAAAAUGUCACUCUAUUUAGAGAAAUGGCAAUAGUUACUAACUAUUACCAAUAGUUAGGGACGAGCUGGA
Passer domesticus (house sparrow) is the source of this 1572-nucleotide long non-coding RNA. RefSeq lists it as uncharacterized. Lineage: Eukaryota; Metazoa; Chordata; Aves; Passeriformes; Passeridae. The transcript has 3 exons. The record is from RefSeq and is a predicted model, not a curated record.